ACUUGAAAAAGCUUUGUUCAGGUUCUGGAUUCAGUGAACUGGGAACACAAGCUCUCAUCAAUUUCUUAAAAGCAGCUUUAGUAUGUCUAACAUCAUGAUAUUCCACAGCAGAAACUCGGUUAUCAAUAUUAAUUGGGACUGGACCUGUUUGAACCAGCUAAGAUGUUACCUUCAUGUGGGCUUUCUCCCCAAGAAUAUAAAGCGCUGCACGUUGAAAUGUAUGUACACAUUCAGUUCCGCUGUCAGAGUCUGCCGAAUGCCUGACGGUACCUCGUUGAUUGACCGUCGUCAGAGAGGCUUGAGAACUAUUAUGCCUCUUGUCUUUAAGGGAACCCCAACGUCCGAAGUUUUUAGGCCCCUUGCCACCCGACGAUCUUGGGAACAUUCUAAGUUAGAGAGCGCAGAAUCAGGCAAGCAAUACCAUCUAAUCGGACAAUGAGAAUGAAUACAAAGCACAUGCUCGAUUUGCGAUACGACAUUCAAUUGAAUGAAAACAUCGAGUAAAAUAAUACCUCUGUAUCUCAUGCCAGAGAUUCUACAAAAUCUUAUCCAAAAACGGAAAUUAAUGACAGGUAUAUUUACGAAAAUAACUAGCAACAUAGAAAACACAAAGGUCUUCUAACUAACGUAACGAUGCAACAAUUAUUUCAGUUCAAAUUGAGUUACAAGAUAUGCAUACCCAAGGGUACCAAUUGCUUUGUUGAAUGGAUUUCUUCUGGAUUGUUCAGGAGUUGCGUUUCGGUCUUCAGCUGCUAAAAACAGGGAAUCUAUGCUGAGAGAGCUAUCCGACAUUCCCCAAGCAGAUCCUUGUCGUAAUACCGAAGCUGGAGUUGCUGCUACUAAAGCCAUCAUAUACUUCUCUAGUUCUAACGAUGAGGUACUCUCUGAAGAAGUAGCU
RNAcentral lists this unclassified non-coding RNA (898 nucleotides) under Athalia rosae (coleseed sawfly). Its description in RNAcentral is "misc RNA ENSAEAG00005007570.1". Lineage: Eukaryota; Metazoa; Arthropoda; Insecta; Hymenoptera; Athaliidae. The record is from RNAcentral.